RNAcentral lists this ribosomal RNA (253 nucleotides) under uncultured bacterium. Its description in RNAcentral is "partial 16S ribosomal RNA". It matches the Rfam family "Bacterial small subunit ribosomal RNA", at positions 524 to 776 of the family's 1533-position model. The record is from RNAcentral.
UACGGAGGGGGCUAGCGUUGUUCGGAAUUACUGGGCGUAAAGCGCACGUAGGCGGUUUCUCAAGUCAGGGGUGAAAGCCCGGAGCUCAACUCCGGAAUUGCCUUUGAAACUAGGUGACUUGAAUCAUGGAGAGGUCAGUGGAAUUCCGAGUGUAGAGGUGAAAUUCGUAGAUAUUCGGAAGAACACCAGUGGCGAAGGCGGCUGACUGGACAUGUAUUGACGCUGAGGUGCGAAAGCGUGGGGAGCAAACAGG